UCCGCCAGGCCCUGGGGGCUGCGCCGGCUCCUCCACACAUUAUUCAGAAUCGCGCGUCAGCCUUGGCUAGGGCGCCUGGCGCGAGCGCUCCGGGCUUUGGCCGCCUCGGCCCGGUCUGAACCCUACGGGCCGCGGGCCAGGGCGGGCCCGAGAGCUGCGCGCCAGGACCUUGUCCCGACGCCUCCCGCACCAAGUUCCUCCUGCCCGGCCUGUUGUCCCCGCUUGCAAAGCAAGGACGGCACUUUGGGGCUCGCGGCUGGGUCUGCGCCCGGGGCUCCCUGCGCUCCGUCUUGGGCUCGCAGCACCCGGCUCUCGACCCGGCAGCGUUGAGCCCCAGGAGCUGCCACUCCUAAGCUGUGGCACCCCGUCGUCCAUCGGCGCCCGAGCGGGAGUGGGAAACAGGGGCGGGAGCGGAGGACGCGCUCUGCACAGGGCGACCUCCCUCUCGUCUCCUCGUGGCGAGAUUUCGGGUGGAGAGCACCCCUCGGGGAUCCAGCUGGGCGGUGUUCCAGAUGUGUGCAGCUGUGCAGCGGGAGACUUUCCCCGGGUUCUGGGAGGGGACCGGCGCAAAAGUAGUCGCUGCUGCUCCCUCUCUGUAUUUUGCAGGCUAGGUGUUAUUAUCCACAUUCUGCGGAUGGAAAAGUGGGAUCCCGUCCAAGGAAAAUGACUUGCCAAGUUUGUACCACUGAAUGGGAAAAAGAAGGUCAAGGAGGUCUCCAUGAGGAUUUUCCCCCACACCCUGGUCUUGAGAAGCCAACAGUGACUUAAUUUCUCAUCUGUGUCUAGAAUCUAUCUACUUUGCAGAUAAAAUAUUGGAAUGCUGAGGAGGGCCUGGGUGUUAGAGAAAUUUGUGUGGUAGUCUUUUAUAAAAUUAAAUCUGCUAGUAAUAAUACCACCAGUCUUGGACCCACAAGAGUUGUGGUAAGACUCAAAAUGGAUAAUGGCCAAACAUGUGCUUUGAGAAGUGUGAAGAGCCUUGUAAAUAUAAGAUCCAUUCAUUCAAGGAACUCGGUGGAGACAACAAAUAUAAAGGUGAAUGCUAUCUUUGAAUCUUCCAGACCAUCAGGGCAAAUAAACAUGGCUAUACGGGAGAAAGGGGAUCCCUAGUGCACCAUUGGUGAGAAUGUAAACUAGAGCUAGUAUAGAGAACAAUAUGGAGAUGCUUCAUACUAGAAAUAGAUGGAAUUAUUCCACUACUGGGUAAUUAUCCAAAGGAAAUGAAAUCCAUAUGUCAAACAGACAUCAGAAAUCCCAUGAUUAUUUCAGCUUAUUCAUAAUAGCCAAGAUAUGGAAUCAACCUAGGUGUCCAUCAGCAGAUGAAUGGAUUUAAA
Molecule: long non-coding RNA, 1331 nt
Organism: Urocitellus parryii (Arctic ground squirrel)
Lineage: Eukaryota; Metazoa; Chordata; Mammalia; Rodentia; Sciuridae
Source: RefSeq, a predicted model, not a curated record